RNAcentral lists this ribosomal RNA (425 nucleotides) under uncultured bacterium. RNAcentral's name for it is "bacterial SSU rRNA". It matches the Rfam family "Bacterial small subunit ribosomal RNA", at positions 355 to 775 of the family's 1533-position model. The record is from RNAcentral.
UCGAGGAUCUUCGGCAAUGAGCGCAAGCUUGACCGAGCGACGCCGCGUGUGGGAUGAAGGCCUUCGGGUUGUAAACCACUGUCAGAGGGGACGAAAUAUCGUGGGGUACUCUUCACGAUUUGACAGAUCCUCAGAGGAAGGGUGGGCUAAGUUCGUGCCAGCAGCCGCGGUAAGACGUACCACCCGAACGUUAUUCGGAUUCACUGGGCUUACAGAGUCCGUAGGCGGUCGAGAAAGUUGGAUGUGAAAUACCUCAGCUCAACUGAGGAAUUGCGUUCAAAACUACUUGGCUAGAGAGAUACAGAGGUGAGCGGAACUGAUGGUGGAGCGGUGAAAUGCGUUGAUAUCAUCAGGAACACCGGUGGCGAAAGCGGCUCACUGGGUAUCUUCUGACGCUGAGGGACGAAAGCUAGGGGAGCGAACGG